This 440-nucleotide ribosomal RNA is filed under the name uncultured bacterium. Its description in RNAcentral is "partial 16S ribosomal RNA". It matches the Rfam family "Bacterial small subunit ribosomal RNA", at positions 338 to 795 of the family's 1533-position model. The record is from RNAcentral.
CCUACGGGUGGCAGCAGUGGGGGAUAUUGCACAAUGGGGGGAACCCUGAUGCAGCGACGCCGCGUGUGUGAAGGAGCGUUUCGGCGCGUAAAGCCCUAUCGGCGGGGAAGAAGGUGACGGUACCUGAACCAGAAGCCCCGGCUAACUACGUGCCAGUAGCCGCGGUAAUACGGAGGGGGCAAGCGUUCGCCGGAUUUACUGGGUGUAACGGGGGCGCAGACGGCAUUGCAAGCCAGGCGUGAAAGCCCCGGGCGCAACCCCGGGACUGCUCUUGGAACUGCAUGGCUGGAGUACAGGAGAGGCAGGCGGAAUUCCUGGGGUAGCGGUGAAAUGCGUAGAUAUUAGGAGGAACACCGGUGGCGAAGGCGGCCUGCUGGACUGUGACUGACGUUGAGGCCCGAAGGCGUGGGGAGCAAACAGGAUUAGAUACCCCUGUAGUC